Molecule: long non-coding RNA, 1911 nt
Organism: Brassica napus (rape)
Lineage: Eukaryota; Viridiplantae; Streptophyta; Magnoliopsida; Brassicales; Brassicaceae
Exons: 2
Source: RefSeq, a predicted model, not a curated record
ACAAUACCUACAUCUAAUAUGAUAUUUUGGAUCAAAAUUUUAUUAGAAAAUAACCCGGGCGUAGCCCGGGAACUGACCUAGUUGUGCUAAUGAAUAUUAUCGAGAAUAAUUGGCCACUUGAAUAUAUAAAUAAAUUCAAUUAAAAUUAGAAGCACACCAAACUUGUGUUUCUAUUCUAGACCGGCUCUGUGCAAUAAAGUGAUGAAUUUCUCUCGAUCCAUAAAGAUGAUGGGGUUUGUUUGCUAUUUUCUUAUAAGAAAAAAAAACAGAAAAAGAAAAGAAAUUUUACAUUGUGGGACGCUUUUCCACUUUGCAAUUACACCUCAAAGCACAUAGCGCUUGAGGGACACUUCUACACAUCGAAAAGAUACGAAUGACCCUAACUUAAAAAAAAACGAAACGGAACUGAACAUGUUCUCAGUUGAUGUUCCCCAACUAUAUAUUUAUAUUUUUAUCCUAGCUAAAUAGCUAAUAUAUAUAUUUUUUAAACUAUACUACCGACAAACCAAAAACUUUACAUUUCUCUUAUCUCAAAUCUCAAAUUCACUUUCCCAAAUCCAGAAACCCUAAUCCCACUUAAUUCCUCUUCAUUCUCGUUUUGAAGACAAUGAAGAACUGAUUUCUUUCUCUGUCUUGAAGCCAAAAACCCAUUUAUCUUCUUCUUCUGGUUCUUGCUUUGAGAUGGUUACAAGUAGAUUAUGUGGACAUGAGAUUUGAAGACAAGAAAAUGCAUAGCAAUCAUCUUCUGCUCAAAGUUGACAUCUUUUUCUGUGAUCUCUGAGAAUCAAGCAUGUUGGAGCAGCAGAAGAAGAAGAGGUUUGCUCUGUUUCUCACCAAGUGCGACUCCGAGUUCGUGAAGAAGGUUAACGGUGGCUACUUCAAUAUCUUCGUCUCCACUUGUGGCGAAGACGGUGAGCAAUGGGAUCUCUUCCGAGUGGUAGACAGCUUUUCCUGAUGAGAGUUCAAAAAAAAAAAUUCAAGAGAGGAUCGAUAUGUGAUGAUAAGACCAGAGCUCGUAGUGAAAUCGAUAGUGGAUGAGUUCGAUUGUGGAUGAGUUCGAUCGUGGAUGAGUUCAAUCGUGGAUAAGUUCGAUCGUGGAUGAGUUCGGGAUUUGCCGUGGCUGAGCUUGGGAUCCGUCGUGGCUGAGCUCAAGGUAGUUGCGGUGGAGUUUCAGAGAGUGGAUGAACUUGGGAUUCAGCUACAGUUUCACUGCCUCGAGAACCCUUAAAACUCACCAGACAUUUCAAAUUCACCGUGAGAUAACCUCUUUCCAGAUUUUGUUGGAACUAGUCAACUAUAUCUGAUCGUCGGACAAAUUAAUGCCUUUGGCAUGGUAGAUUUAUCAAAUGAAGGUAGCAGACACGAGAGCUAUGAGUUUUUUCAGUGAUCAGCUUGGUGAUAUGGAUCAAAGUCAGACUGUUUAAUGCGAGUCUAGUGUGAAUGAGGAGGCCACCCAACAUGUUUCUGAUGUUGAAAACAGUUCGACUCUUGGUAGUGUGGUAGAUGUGGCUCCCACUAUCAUGCCACUGAAGCAACUAGAAGCGAGAUAAAUAUUUGUCCAGAUUGCAGGGAGGAACACAAUUUUGUGGAAACAAUCCCCCUGAAACAACAAGAGCUCUUGAUGAAAACUCCCUGAAACAGCCUCAAGAGAUCUUUGAUGAAAAAGAGUCUUUUGUUGAGACAAUUCCUGCCAUAGAUUUGUACCUCCAUCAUUUGUUUGGUUUUAAGGGUAUGCGGCUGCUCUUGAUAUGACUGCUAGGGAACUCCAAACUAUUGCCAAGGUAACAAUCUGAUUUUUAGUUCAUGUCAAUCUCACUUGUUAGAUGUUUCUUGUACUCUUUUUUGCUUUGUAUUUAAUGAAUAUUGAUGAUAUAACUCUUUCUUUAAUGGAAUACCCAUCGUGCGCCUAAA